GGCCUCAUACAUGCAAGUCGAGCGGUCCUUCGGGACAGCGGCGAACGGGUUAGUAACGCGUGGGAACGUGCCCUUUAGUACGGAAUAGCCAUUGGAAACGAUGAUUAAUACCGUAUACGCCCCAAGGGGGAAAGAUUUAUCGCUAAAGGAUCGGCCCGCGUUAGAUUAGGUAGUUGGUAGGGUAACGGCCUACCAAGCCGACGAUCUAUAGCUGGUUUGAGAGGAUGAUCAGCAACACUGGGACUGAGACACGGCCCAGACUUCUACGGAAGGCAGCAGUAGGGAAUCUUGGACAAUGGGCGAAAGCCUGAUCCAGCCAUGCCGCGUGAGUGAUGAAGGCCCUAGGGUUGUAAAGCUCUUUCGCCAGGGAAGAUAAUGACGGUACCUGGCAAAGAAACCCCGGCUAACUCCGUGCCAGCAGCCGCGGUAAUACGGAGGGGGUUAGCGUUGUUCGGAAUUACUGGGCGUAAAGCGCACGUAGGCGGAUUAAUAAGUCAGGGGUGAAAUCCCGAGGCUCAACCUCGGAACUGCCUUUGAUACUGUUAGUCUUGAGUUCGAGAGAGGUGAGUGGAAUUCCGAG
Molecule: ribosomal RNA, 580 nt
Filed under: uncultured Alphaproteobacteria bacterium
Lineage: Bacteria; Pseudomonadati; Pseudomonadota; Alphaproteobacteria
Description: bacterial SSU rRNA
Rfam family: Bacterial small subunit ribosomal RNA
Source: RNAcentral